Molecule: non-coding RNA, 29 nt
Filed under: Mus musculus (house mouse)
Lineage: Eukaryota; Metazoa; Chordata; Mammalia; Rodentia; Muridae
Source: RNAcentral
UGUCAUGUCAAAAGAAAACGCCCCAUUGG